Molecule: long non-coding RNA, 653 nt
Organism: Photinus pyralis (common eastern firefly)
Lineage: Eukaryota; Metazoa; Arthropoda; Insecta; Coleoptera; Lampyridae
Exons: 2
Source: RefSeq, a predicted model, not a curated record
ACUUAUUCAAUGGUAGUAUUAAAGAUCACGACCCCCGUUAUUGAAUCAUACUCUUAGAAGCCAAGAACAAGAUGAAGGGGAUUAUUUUGUGGAUGGUUCUUUUGUUGCUAGUUGCAACAAUGGUAGUGAAGACGAAUGGUUGUCGGGCUUGUGUGGAUAGCUGUAGGACAUACGAGCAGCAAUUGGGGGUUUGUUUCUUUAAAGGAGUUAUUUGCUGUCCCAAAAGAAUUCUUCGCUACCAAACCCCCUCACCACUAUCAUAAAGUAAAUGGUUUCAUUUCAUUAGCUCAAAGUUAUGAUAUUAAAAAUUAAAGAAAACGCACUUUCGUGGCUUUCUCUUCGGCCGGUUUUGAUAUAUAUCAGUACUCCAUGUUACUGUGGGCGAAAUAUCACUUCAAGGGUCUUUUUCGAGGAAUACGAAUUGGAUCUUCGGCCGUUCUUCUCCACCGAUUAAGCUGACAUCAUCAUCACCAAAGUUUCAAGAAAGGAACAAUGAAAAAACAUUAUACUUUUUAGGUUGUAACGACCGUUUCUUACUCCUACGCGCGCACCACCCACGCACACUACUUUUCUCUGCACUGAAAACAGAAAUCUUAUGUGUGCAUCGAUUUUUGAGGAUUUCAUGUUAAAUUGAGUAAACAUUGGUAAUUUGG